CGCGCAGGCGGUUGAUUAAGUCGAAUGUGAAAGCCCCCGGCUCAACUGGGGAGGGUCAUUCGAUACUGAUCGACUUGAAGGCAGGAGAGGGAAGUGGAAUUCCGGGUGUAGUGGUGAAAUGCGUAGAUAUCCGGAGGAACACCAGUGGCGAAGGCGACUUCCUGGCCUGUUCUUGACGCUGAGGCGCGAAAGCUGGGGAGCAAACG
This 206-nucleotide ribosomal RNA is filed under the name uncultured bacterium. RNAcentral's name for it is "partial 16S ribosomal RNA". It matches the Rfam family "Bacterial small subunit ribosomal RNA", at positions 568 to 774 of the family's 1533-position model. The record is from RNAcentral.